Molecule: long non-coding RNA, 318 nt
Filed under: Elaeis guineensis (African oil palm)
Lineage: Eukaryota; Viridiplantae; Streptophyta; Magnoliopsida; Arecales; Arecaceae
Description: long non-coding RNA (EGUI_LNC036806)
Source: RNAcentral
UGCAUAGAUGCACCAGAGUCAAUCAACCAUAUUGAAUUAAGAAUAUUUACUAAAUUGGAUUCAAAACCUAUAAGGGAGUAAAAGGCAUCUUUCUUUUGCAGUCAUUUUUCAUGCUUUAUGUAGUUUUUCUUCGGGUGCCCCUUCUUUUUGUAGAAGUAUUUAACAACUUUAUUAGUGAUUUCAUCUGGUGUCAUAGCUAAUACUUUUUUUCUUUUGCUUUGCCUAUACCUUUUCUUUUACUUAUUUUCUCACUGACCUAAUGUGAAGCCAAGUUUACGCUCUCUAUCUUCUGCCCUCUCAAUCUCUCCUCCUCUUGCA